AAGCCGGUUGUGAAAGCCCCGGGCUCAACCUGGGAACGGCAUCCGGAACUGUCAGGCUAGAGUGCAGGAGAGGAAGGUAGAAUUCCCGGUGUAGCGGUGAAAUGCGUAGAGAUCGGGAGGAAUACAGUGGCGAAGGCGGCCUUCUGGACUGACACUGACGCUGAGGUGCGAAAGCGUGGGUAGCAAACAGGAUUAGAUACCCUGGUAGUCCACGCCGUAAACGAUGUCGACUAGCCGUUGGGGUCCUUGAGACCUUUGUGGCGCAGUUAACGCGAUAAGUCGAACCGCCUGGGGAGUACGGCCGCAAGGUUAAAACUCAAAUGAAUUGACGGGGGCCCGCACAAGCGGUGGAGCAUGUGGUUUAAUUCGAUGCAACGCGAAGAACCUUACCUACCCUUGACAUCGAGAGAACUUGGCAGGGAUGCCUUGGUGCCUUCGGGAACUCUCAGACAGGUGCUGCAUGGCCGUCGUCAGCUCGUGUUGUGAAAUGUUGGGUUAAGUCCCGUAACGAGCGCAACCCUUGUCCCUAUUUGCCAGCGAUUCGGUCGGGAACUCUAGGGAGACUGCCGGUGACAAAUCCGGAGGAAGGUGGGGACGACGUCAGGUCAUCAUGGCCCUUACGGGUAGGGCUACACACGUGCUACAAUGGCCGGUACAAAGGGUUGCGAAGCCGCGAGGUGGAGCCAAUCCCGAAAAGCCGGUCUCAGUCCGGAUCGGAGUCUGCAACUCGACUCCGUGAAGUCGGAAUCGCUAGUAAUCGUGAAUCAGAAUGUCACG
RNAcentral lists this ribosomal RNA (777 nucleotides) under uncultured bacterium. Its description in RNAcentral is "bacterial SSU rRNA". It matches the Rfam family "Bacterial small subunit ribosomal RNA", at positions 585 to 1361 of the family's 1533-position model. The record is from RNAcentral.